CCCCCCCACACACAGCACUCUGAGCAACUGCCCCCCCCACACACAGCACUCUGAGCAACUGCCCUCCCACACACAGCACUCUGAGCAACUGCCCUCCCACACACAGCACCAUGAGCAACUGCAUUCACACACACAGCACCAUGAGCAACUGCAUUCACACACAGCACUCUCAGGAUCUCCACUCUCACACAGCACUCUCACACAG
Pelobates cultripes (western spadefoot toad) is the source of this 205-nucleotide non-coding RNA. Lineage: Eukaryota; Metazoa; Chordata; Amphibia; Anura; Pelobatidae. The record is from the annotation of a GenBank genome assembly.